RNAcentral lists this microRNA precursor (77 nucleotides) under Dasypus novemcinctus (nine-banded armadillo). RNAcentral describes it as "miRNA (ENSDNOG00000040011.1)". Lineage: Eukaryota; Metazoa; Chordata; Mammalia; Cingulata; Dasypodidae. The record is from RNAcentral.
CGCUCGCCCCCGAUCCGGCAGAGGGCUGCAGCGGCGGCGGCGGCGGCGGCGGCAAUGGUGGCGGGGGCGGCGGCGGC